UACGGGGGGGGCAAGCGUUGUUCGGAAUUACUGGGCGUAAAGGGCUCGUAGGCGGCCAACUAAGUCGGAUGUGAAAUCCCCAGGCUCAACUUGGGAACUGCAUCCGAUACUGGAUGGCUUGAAUUCGGGAGAGGGAUGCAGAAUUCCAGGUGUAGCGGUGAAAUGCGUAGAAAUCUGGAGGAAUACCGGUGGCGAAGGCGGCAUCCUGGACCGACAUUGACGCUGAGGAGCGAAAGCUAGGGGAGCAAACGGG
Molecule: ribosomal RNA, 253 nt
Filed under: uncultured bacterium
Lineage: Bacteria
Description: partial 16S ribosomal RNA
Rfam family: Bacterial small subunit ribosomal RNA
Source: RNAcentral